AUGAUCCAGUGAUCCAGUGUCCCGAUUGGCCAUACCUAUGUCACAUGGCCAUUCCAAUGAUUUAAGAAAAAAAGGUACGCCUGCAUAUUCCUACAGCUUCUCAGAGUCCUCUGGACUGUGACUGAGGAGACAAACCAUGCAGGAAACAAGU
Molecule: small nucleolar RNA, 151 nt
Organism: Arvicola amphibius (Eurasian water vole)
Lineage: Eukaryota; Metazoa; Chordata; Mammalia; Rodentia; Cricetidae
Product: small nucleolar RNA SNORA73 family
Exons: 1
Source: RefSeq, a predicted model, not a curated record